ACACCAUUAAAAAUUAUAAUGAAAUGAAUGUAAGUUAUACACCUUACACAGUCCAUAUACAAACCAAAAGAAAUAGAUUGAUCCACUUAAGCAGACCCAUAUUAUCAUCUAUCUAACAUAUACAAACCCAAAGACAUAAAUUAAACUACAUAGGCAGCUUCUACAGUCCAAGCAAGCAUAAAUCAAAAAGCAAUGCUUCCUUUCCAUUUCAAUUAAAAGAGUACAUCAAGCAGCUUUUAAAUGUGUACCUAGAAUGAAACAAAGAGAAGCACCUAUGAGCAGGCAGCCAAGAGAACAAUAACAAUAGCAGCAACAAAUCUUUAGCAAAUGCAGUAAAUAGACAAGGAUCAAUUCCUAGAUUCGAAUAGAAUGAGUUGUAAAAUAAAUUAGGAUAUCGAUCUAGAGCAAAUGACACCAACAAACCAACCCAAAAAGCCUAAAAAAUAACCCCAAUAUACUCAGAAUUGCAUCCACCCAAGCAUAUGGAACCCUAACACCUCAAACACACAUGUUUCA
This 516-nucleotide long non-coding RNA is filed under the name Nicotiana benthamiana. Its description in RNAcentral is "long non-coding RNA (NBEN_LNC028445)". Lineage: Eukaryota; Viridiplantae; Streptophyta; Magnoliopsida; Solanales; Solanaceae. The record is from RNAcentral.